RNAcentral lists this ribosomal RNA (459 nucleotides) under uncultured bacterium. RNAcentral describes it as "partial 16S ribosomal RNA". It matches the Rfam family "Bacterial small subunit ribosomal RNA", at positions 338 to 795 of the family's 1533-position model. The record is from RNAcentral.
CCUACGGGUGGCAGCAGUGAGGAAUAUUGGUCAAUGGUCGGGAGACUGAACCAGCCAAGCCGCGUGAGGGAGGAAGGUACAGAGUAUCGUAAACCUCUUUUGUCAGGGAACAAAGGCGGGGACGUGUCCCCGGAUGAGUGUACCUGAAGAAAAAGCAUCGGCUAACUCCGUGCCAGCAGCCGCGGUAAUAGGGAGGAUGCGAGGGGUAUCCGGAUUUAUUGGGUUUAAAGGGUGCGCGGGCGGUCUGUUAAGUCAGCGUGAAACGCCCGGGGCUCAACCCCGGCACGCCGUUGAACCUGGCAGUCUCGAGUGGGAGAGAAGUAUGCGGAAUGCGCGGUGUAGCGGUGAAAUGCAUAGAUAUCGCGCAGAACUCCGAGUGCGAAGGCAGCAUGCCGGCUCCACACUGACGCUGAGGCACGAAAGCGUGGGUAUCGAACAGGAUUAGAUACCCUUGUAGUC